GACGAACGCUGGCGGCGUGCCUAAUACAUGCAAGUCGAACGCUGAAGAGAGGAGCUUGCUCUUCUUGGAUGAGUUGCGAACGGGUGAGUAACGCGUAGGUAACCUGCCUUGUAGCGGGGGAUAACUAUUGGAAACGAUAGCUAAUACCGCAUAAUAAUGGAUGACACAUGUCAUUUAUUUGAAAGGGGCAAUUGCUCCACUACAAGAUGGACCUGCGUUGUAUUAGCUAGUAGGUGAGGUAACGGCUCACCUAGGCGACGAUACAUAGCCGACCUGAGAGGGGGAUCGGCCACACUGGGACUGGGACACGGCCCAGACUCCUACGGGAGGCAGCAGUAGGGAAUCUUCGGCAAUGGGGGCAACCCUGACCGAGCAACGCCGCGUGAGUGAAGAAGGGUGUCGGAUCGUAAAGCUCUGUUGUAAGUCAAGAACGAGUGUGAGAGUGGAAAGUGCACACUGUGACGGUAGCUGACCAGAAAGGGACGGCUAACUACGUG
RNAcentral lists this ribosomal RNA (497 nucleotides) under uncultured bacterium. RNAcentral's name for it is "partial 16S ribosomal RNA". It matches the Rfam family "Bacterial small subunit ribosomal RNA", at positions 28 to 507 of the family's 1533-position model. The record is from RNAcentral.